GCGCCGGUGGUUCAGUGGUAGAAUUCUCGCCUGCCACGCGGGUGACCCGGGUUCGACUCCCGGCCGGCGCA
Molecule: transfer RNA, 71 nt
Filed under: Taenia asiatica
Lineage: Eukaryota; Metazoa; Platyhelminthes; Cestoda; Cyclophyllidea; Taeniidae
Rfam family: tRNA
About the family: Transfer RNA (tRNA) molecules are approximately 80 nucleotides in length.
Source: Rfam by way of RNAcentral